This 253-nucleotide ribosomal RNA is filed under the name uncultured bacterium. Its description in RNAcentral is "partial 16S ribosomal RNA". It matches the Rfam family "Bacterial small subunit ribosomal RNA", at positions 524 to 776 of the family's 1533-position model. The record is from RNAcentral.
UACGUAGGCAGCAAGCGUUGUUCGGAAUUACUGGGCGUAAAGAGUGUGUAGGCGGUGUUCUAAGUUUGUCGUGAAAUCUCCCGGCUUAACUGGGAGGGUGCGGCGAAAACUGGAAUGCUAGAGGAUGGGAGAGGUAAGCGGAAUUCCAGGUGUAGCGGUGAAAUGCGUAGAUAUCUGGAGGAACACCCGUGGUGCAGACGGCUUGCUGGACCGUGACUGACGCUGAGGCACGAAAGCGUGGGUAGCAAACAGG